This 302-nucleotide ribosomal RNA is filed under the name uncultured bacterium. Its description in RNAcentral is "bacterial SSU rRNA". It matches the Rfam family "Bacterial small subunit ribosomal RNA", at positions 29 to 355 of the family's 1533-position model. The record is from RNAcentral.
AACGAACGCUGGCGGCAUGCCUAACACAUGCAAGUCGAACGCGUGGCUUCGGCCACGAGUGGCGCACGGGUGAGUAACGCGUGGGAACCUGCCCAUCGGUACGGAACAACCGCGGGAAACUGCGGCUGAUACCGUAUAUACCCUGCGGGGGAAAGAUUUAUCGCCGAUGGGAGGGGCCCGCGUCGGAUUAGGUAGUUGGUGGGGUAACGGCCUACCAAGCCUGCGAUCCGUAGCUGGUCUGAGAGGAUGAUCAGCCACACUGGGACUGAGACACGGCCCAGACUCCUACGGGAGGCAGCAGU